Molecule: long non-coding RNA, 1445 nt
Organism: Bos taurus (domestic cattle)
Lineage: Eukaryota; Metazoa; Chordata; Mammalia; Artiodactyla; Bovidae
Source: Ensembl
AAACGAGAAGUCCUUUAAUCGGGGAAAAUCUGGCUUCCAGGAGCCCAAGUAGCUCAGAUGCUCUAAUUGAAGACUAGCCAAUUAGCUUCCGAUUUUGAAAUUCCCCUAACCAUUAAAUAUCUCCUGGAAGCCUGGAUCAGGGAGACAGAUCUGUGAGCCUUGCUCCUAUUCUUUAUGCUGGUUGGCCUUGCUGCAAACCUCUUUGUUUUCUCAAAAGCCAGUCCCAUAGUCUCGGCUUCUCUGUGUGUGAUCCGGCAGUGAGCCUUUGCUUGGUAACCGGAGCAUGGCAAUGGGCAAAUUAAGGUGUCACUUUGUUCUGGGUCUCUGGGGUUGGGUGGUGGAAACGGGGUUGGAGCAGGUUUACACUGUACGUCUAUUGAGAAAGGAAGUCUAUCAGGAGGUUGUUGAUGAAGCCCAGGAAGGAUAUUUGGGGAGGGCCUUGCUUAGGAAAGCAAGUGGGAAAAUAUGGAAAGGGUGAAGCCCAAGAAAUGGGGAUGGUCUUUCUGUCUCUUUUGCCGGAGGAGAGUGUUGCACUGGGAUGUGAAUCAGGUUGGGUUUUGUUCAUCUUUCCUUAGGGUCUGGCACUCUUGGGGAGUGUAUGGAUAUGUGUUUAUUGAAUGAAUGAGGGAGGAGAGGAAGGGAGGCAGGAAGGAGAGGAAGGAAGAAAGGAAGCUGACUAAACUAGGGGGGAGUGCUUCAGAAGUAGAAGAUAAUAGCUAUUGAUCAAUGGCUGGAGGCUAUAGAGAGUUCAAGAAGAUUCAGGAUGGAGUAGAGCCAUUUUUCUUUACCAAAGUGAAGAAGUCAUUAACUAGAUGGGAAUUGUGGUUUCUUUUUGCGGCGGUGCAGGUGGGAAUUAAGCUGGAGGGACUGGAUCUUUUUGACUCAAUUAGAUGCCCUGGUUACACCAGAUCUUCAGCUUCCCCACCAAUCAAUAUUCAUAUCCUUAAUGCUCCCUGCUUCCCCUCUCAUGGAAAUAAACACAUCAGGAGCUGAAUUCCAGGUGCCUGGUUCCCCAGAGACACAUGUGCUUUGUGCAGGAAAUGUUCUGAGAGAUGGAGAGCCUCCCUCAGGAAUUCCCAGACUGGCCACAGCACAGGAGCCUCUGAACCCUCUCCAGUCUGAUGGCUCCGUGCUUAGGACUCCACACUGCUCCAGUGACCCCAGGAAAUGGAAUUCCUUUCCCAAGCCGGAGCCCCGAGUUUACCUCUUUCUUCUUGCAUUACUUCAUAGAUAGAUAAUCUGAGUUAAUUCCUUCAGGGUUCCUUUGCAUUUAGCCCUUGCCUCUUAAUUCUGCUGCUGUUCUUCACUUAAAUACCCAAGGCGAAUUCCCUAAGCUCAUUGCAGUUCUGAUUCUGGUUUUCUUGCAUAAAGAUAGAGUUGCAUUAAAGAUAGAGUUUCUUUCAGUGAAGUUCCUAUGCACAUUUAUUUUCUCCUAUAUUCAAAGG